Molecule: long non-coding RNA, 1194 nt
Organism: Gadus morhua (Atlantic cod)
Lineage: Eukaryota; Metazoa; Chordata; Actinopteri; Gadiformes; Gadidae
Exons: 2
Source: RefSeq, a predicted model, not a curated record
CUCCGGGCCGCGUCUUACUACGACCUGCAACCCCCGUCACAUGCUCCGGGACUACACGCCAGGCACGCUGCCUACAUGCAUGGUUCCCGUAUCUCCUCCCGGUUCCACACACUGACGGACCGGCCACACAGUACAGUGAGUACCGCACGGUCGCCGAUGCAAAGACUACAAGUUCCCUUGGCAAUACUGUGUGGAAAUGCUGGCAUCGAAAUUGGUCCCAAACACCUCCUGAACCGUUGAGUCACGGCAGUGUCAAAGUGCUUACAGUGCAGGUAGUCUUACAAUAUCUACUGCAGUGAAGGCACUUUCAGCACUGUCGUGACACUGGUGAAGUUCCAAUACACCCAUCACGAGCAGGUGCUUGCGACUGGUGCUUAUGCUAAGGUGCAUCUAGUGCAGAUAGUGAAGUAGACUAGCACCUACUGCCCUAAGUGCUCCUUCUGGCAUAAGGAGCUAGAACUCUCAUCUGCGGUGCGCUCACUCAAGUCUUCGGUGGUCUAAAACGGUUCACUGCCAGUUUUGCGUAGUUGCUCUGCAAGAAAAUUGAGUUGUGCAAAUCUAUGCAAAACUGACGGUGUACUGUGUGUCUGCAAAAUCAAGGGUCAUCUGGCUGAUGUUUAUGAUGACUAGGAUGGCUGAUGUGGCCACCUGUUGCUGCUGCAGGACACUGGAAGCAUGCGUUGGUUCCAGCAGUAUUAAAGUGCUUAUAGUGCAGGUAGUUGUAUGUAUUUCUACUGCAGUGUGAGCACUUAAAGUACUUCUAGAGGCGUACAUCGUCGCGUGGUGGAGCUUAGGACUGCGCUCUGUGGACAAGGGUCUCUGGUUAGUUUUGCUGGUUUGCUUUCAGCUUUUGAAAACACACGCUGUGCAAAUCCAUGCAAAACUGAUCAUGGCACUGAUAAAAGUCUGGUCGAAGCCAUCCCUUUUCUGUGCAGGUUGGGAGAGGUGACAAUGCUCUGUUUGGGAUGGUAUUGCACUUGUCCCGGCCUGUUGAGGACUUGGGGAACGUAGCUGCUUCCUUCGUCCUCCCUAACCUCGGAACUCCCAAGAACUCAACUCCUCAUUGCGCAUUACGUUUGACUUGUUUGUUUAAUAAAAAAAAUGUAUUGUAAUUUAAUUGUUUGUUACUUGUGCAACGGUCAAAGCUAUAAAAAAAAAUGACAAUUUAAAUAAAGUUUGUAAAAUACACUCAAA